CAGGAAGAACAUCAGCAGAUCAUCCAGGGGGAGGGAUCCAGAUCUGGCUGCUGCAGAUGGCUAAGAAGGUGAUCCACACCGCCGGGCAAGCAUCCCAGCAUCCUUUCCAUCCAGUCCCUCUGUCGCCACUGACAGAAAGACUCCGUUACAUCCACACAUGCCUAGACCAUAACCCUCGUAUGGUUUCAUAAGAAAAUGAGGUGUGUCCAACUGCAUGCAUUUCUGUUCAAAUACGUUUCAGGAAAAUGAAUGGUAAGGUGGCAGAGCAUCGCCAUGCAAAUAAAUGGUUCAGCAUCA
This is a long non-coding RNA of Cygnus atratus (black swan), 297 nucleotides long. RefSeq lists it as uncharacterized. The transcript has 2 exons. NCBI's taxonomy places the organism in Eukaryota, Metazoa, Chordata, Aves, Anseriformes, Anatidae. The record is from RefSeq and is a predicted model, not a curated record.